ACGGCUCAGUAACACGUAGCUAACCUACCCUUAGGACGAGGACAACCCCGAGAAAUUGGGGCUAAUCCGCGAUAGGUGUGAUGUCCUGGAAUGGUAUCACGCCCAAAGGUGUUCGCACGCCUAAGGAUGGGGCUGCGGCCGAUCAGGCAGUUGGUGAGGUAAAGGCUCACCAAACCUUUGACCGGUACGGGCCAUGAGAGUGGUAGCCUGGAGAUGGACACUGAGACAAGGGUCCAGGCCCUACGGGGCGCAGCAGGCGCGAAACCUCCUCAAUGCACUCACGUGCGAAGGGGUUACCUCGAGUGCCGCCUGAAGAAGGCGGCUUUUCCAUGGUCUAAAAAGCCUAGGGAAUAAGAGGGGGGCAAGACUGGUGUCAGCCGCCGCGGUAACACCAGCCCCUCGAGUGGUGGGGAUGAUUAUUUGGCCUAAAGCGUCCGUAGCCGGCCGGGUAAGUCUCCCGUUAAAUCCAGCGUCUCAAGCGUUGGACUGCGGGAGAUACUGUCUGGCUAGAGAGUGGGAGAGGUGUACGGUAUUCUGGGGGUAGGGGCGAAAUCCUUUGAUCCCCGGAGGACCACCAGUGGCGAAGGCUGUGCACUAGAACACGUCUGACGGUCAGGGACGAAAGCUGGGGUAGCGAACCGGAUUAGAUACCCGGGUAGUCCCAGCUGUAAACGAUGCACGCUAGGUGUUGGGGCGGCCACGAGCCGCCCCAGUGCCGCAGGGAAGCCGUUAAGCGUGCCGCCUGGGGAGUACGGCCGCAAGGCUGAAACUUAAAGGAAUUGGCGGGGGAGCACCACCAGGCGUGAAGCCUGCGGUUUAAUUGGAGUCAACGCCGGG
RNAcentral lists this ribosomal RNA (837 nucleotides) under uncultured archaeon. Its description in RNAcentral is "bacterial SSU rRNA". It matches the Rfam family "Archaeal small subunit ribosomal RNA", at positions 85 to 922 of the family's 1478-position model. The record is from RNAcentral.